RNAcentral lists this ribosomal RNA (29 nucleotides) under Pleurotus eryngii var. elaeoselini. RNAcentral describes it as "partial 18S ribosomal RNA". Lineage: Eukaryota; Fungi; Basidiomycota; Agaricomycetes; Agaricales; Pleurotaceae. The record is from RNAcentral.
UUCUUCUUUUAGGGGUGUUGCGGAAGGAU